AUCAACUUUCGAUGGUAGGAUAGAGGCCUACCAUGGUGGUAACGGGUAACGGGGUGUUAGGGCACGACACCGGAGAGGGAGCCUGAGAAACGGCUACCACAUCCAAGGAUGGCAGCAGGCGCGCAAAUUACCCAAUCCCGACACGGGGAGGUAGUGACAAUAAAUAACAAUACGGGGUUCUUUCGGAUCUCGUAAUUGGAAUGAGUACAAUUUAAAUCUCUUAACGAGGAACAAUUGGAGGGCAAGUCUGGUGCCAGCAGCCGCGGUAAUUCCAGCUCCAAUAGCGUAUAUUAAAGUUGUUGCAGUUAAAAAGCUCGUAGUUGAAUUUCGGGGUUAGUAGGUUGGUCAUGCCUCUGGUAUGUACUGGUCUCACUGAUUCCUCCUUCCUGAUGAACCGUAAUGCCAUUAAUUUGGUGUUGCGGGGAAUUUGGACUGUUACUUUGAAAAAAUUAGAGUGUUUAAAGCAAGCUAACGCUUGAAUACAUUAGCAUGGAAUAAUGAAAUAGGGCGUUCGAUCCUAUUUUGUUGGUUUCUAGGAUUGACGUAAUGAUUAAUAGGGAUAGUUGGGGGCAUUAGUAUUCAAUUGUCAGAGGUGAAAUUCUUGGAUUUAUUGAAGACUAACUACUGCGAAAGCAUUUGCCAAGGAUGUUUUCAUUAAUCAAGAACGAAAGUUAGGGGAUCGAAGACGAUCAGAUACCGUCGUAGUCUUAGCCAUAAACUAUGCCGACUAGGGAUCGGAUGAUGUUAAUUUUUUAAUGACUCAUUCGGCGCCUUACGGGAAACCAAAGUGUUUGGGUUC
RNAcentral lists this ribosomal RNA (799 nucleotides) under uncultured Glomeromycotina. Its description in RNAcentral is "SSU rRNA". It matches the Rfam family "Eukaryotic small subunit ribosomal RNA", at positions 314 to 1114 of the family's 1831-position model. The record is from RNAcentral. Lineage: Eukaryota; Fungi; Glomeromycota.